RNAcentral lists this ribosomal RNA (497 nucleotides) under uncultured bacterium. Its description in RNAcentral is "partial 16S ribosomal RNA". It matches the Rfam family "Bacterial small subunit ribosomal RNA", at positions 28 to 507 of the family's 1533-position model. The record is from RNAcentral.
GAUGAACGCUGGCGGCGUGCCUAAUACAUGCAAGUCGAGCGAACGGACGAGAAGCUUGCUUCUCUGAUGUUAGCGGCGGACGGGUGAGUAACACGUGGAUAACCUACCUAUAAGACUGGGAUAACUUCGGGAAACCGGAGCUAAUACCGGAUAAUAUUUUGAACCGCAUGGUUCAAUAGUGAAAGACGGUCUUGCUGUCACUUAUAGAUGGAUCCGCGCUGCAUUAGCUAGUUGGUAAGGUAACGGCUUACCAAGGCAACGAUGCAUAGCCGACCUGAGAGAGUGAUCGGCCACACGGGAGCGGAGACACGGUCCAGACGCCUGCGAGAGGCAGCAGUAGGGAAUCUGCGGCAAUGGGCGAAAGCCUGACGGAACAACGCCGCGUGAGUGAUGAAGGUCUUCGGAGCGUAAAACUCUGUUAUGAGGGAAGAACAUAUGUGUAAGUAACUGUGCACAUCUUGACGGUACCUAAUCAGAAAGCCACGGCUAACUACGUG